GACGAACGCUGGCGGCGUGCUUAACACAUGCAAGUCGAACGGAAAGGCCCUGCUCUUGCGGGGUGCUUGAGAGGCGAAGGGGUGAGUAAAACGCGAGUAAACUGUACCUGAAUUAGGGAUAACUUCAGGAAACAGGGGAUAAUACAGGAUAGGAGAUUCUGAUGCAUGGGGGGGGAUGGAAAGAUUCGGCGGUUGGGGAUGGUAUAGGGGCUUAUCAGCUUGUUGGGGGGGUAGUGGCUUACCAAGUCUUUGACGGGUAGCCGGCCUGAGAGGGUGACCAGCCACAUGAGGCCUACGAGACGGCCCAGACUCCUACGUUAGGCAGCAGUGGGGAGUAUGGCACAGUGGGCGGAAGCCUGAUGCGGCAACGCCGCGUUCGUAAUGACCGCCUUCGAGUUGUGAACCGCUGUCGCCUGUGACGAAGCGUGAGUGACGGUAAUUAAUAAAGAAGCACCGGCUAACUACGUG
Molecule: ribosomal RNA, 468 nt
Filed under: uncultured bacterium
Lineage: Bacteria
Description: partial 16S ribosomal RNA
Rfam family: Bacterial small subunit ribosomal RNA
Source: RNAcentral